Papaver somniferum (opium poppy) is the source of this 2092-nucleotide long non-coding RNA. RefSeq lists it as uncharacterized. The record is from RefSeq and is a predicted model, not a curated record. The transcript is spliced from 3 exons. Lineage: Eukaryota; Viridiplantae; Streptophyta; Magnoliopsida; Ranunculales; Papaveraceae.
UUUCUCUUCUUUCUUCUUCCCUAUUCUUCUUCUCCUCCUCUCUGUCGAUUUCUUCUUCAGUGGUUUGAGCUCGAGUCUCUCGAGUUUGGUUCGUAUAAAGCUUGUGGUUGUUGAAGUGAAGGUGAAGGUGAUGAUGCUGCUGCCGAUUGGGUUUUGGAAGAAGCAUAGAGUUGGGAUUUGAGAAAUAAUCGAGUUACGGUUUCAAUUGUAGUUCAAAUAAGAAUUAGAAGAUGAAGAUGACGGUUUAGGGGAUUGAAUUAAGAUGGGUUUGUUUUGAAUUGACGUUUGAUUGAAACUAUAGGGUUGUUUGAGGAUUGGAUAUGAUAUUAGGGUUUCUGAAUUUGAUUCAGAGGUGAGUUCGAAGAUGAAAUUAAGAAUGAAAUUAAGUGAGUAAUAGGGGGUUCCAUGUGUUGGAAGCAAAAAAGAUGAAUGAGUUUGAUUCUCAAACUUCAGAGAAGAUUCAAAGAAUUAGGGUUUCAUGUUCUUCCCCAGAGUAGAUUUGACGUUUUAGAAGAAUUGGUUUGGUGAAUUAACAAUUCAGGGGAGGAAAAUGGUUGGGUAAGUCUCUCUGUUGCUUAAUUUUGCUGUUUGAAGUUGAAUUGUUAAUGAUUGUUGAGUUUGUAUGUUUGUGAAUGAAACUGAGGGUGAGGUGGUAAAACUAUGAAACUGUGACUGCAGUUAGAAGUGUUAUUGAUAGUGAUGGGAUUGAUGAAUUGAGUUUAAGAAAGGUGUUGAUACUGUUGUUAUUAUGGUUUGUUUGAAUGAGUGAUUUCAAGAGUUGGGUUUGAGUAAUUGUGGAUAGCCAAUUGGGUAUGAUCUCAACUGAAGUUGCAGGUGUUAUGAGUUAGUACAUUAGAAGUGUAUCAGAUGCAGUUUAUUUUAGUGAUUGAACUGAGUUGGAUUAGUUUUGAUGAUGAUAUUCUAGUUCAUGAAGUUGGCAGUGUGAUGAAUGGUUUCGUAGUUGGUGGUGUUGCUGCAGAGAUGGUGGUGGUAGUGUACUGAGUUGGUAGUAGAAUGUUUACAGCUCAUGAGACUAGUGAUGAUGUCACUGAAUGGAUGUGGCUUGAGGUGAAGAGUUGAAGUCCUGACUAUGGAAUGAUUGUAUGUGCAGGGGAAGUUAAAUGGGGAGGAUAAUGGAGUGAUGAUAUUACAGCUGGAUCUAAAUCAAGAGUUGUUGUCUAGAUGGAAAAUGGUAAUGGUUCUGUUAAGUUGCAGAUGCAGAUAAUUGAGAAUGGGUGGAGUUAUAGAUGAAUGUCAGGUUCUGGGAGUUGUAAAUGAAAUCAAAUUGGUAGUGCUAUUGGAAUGAGAAGUGUGAUGGUUUGGUACUGCUAAUAAAGGGUAUAUGGUUGUGAGUUGAAUUGGUGAUUUGGAUGACUUGUAUUGAUGAAGCUAAGGUUGAGCUUAGUUUAUUAGUGAUUAUAGAAUUGUGGAUUGUUUUCCUGUGAAAGCUUGGAAGCUUGCAACUACUGCAAUUGCAGGUAGUCUAUAUUAACAACGAUUCAAAGGAUGAACAAGUGGAUCGUGGAUCUCGAGGUAGGCGUGACUUGUCAUCAAAAGUGGUGGGAAUACUUUAACUCUUUUGUAACCAUUGUUGUUGUUUCUUUUAUAAAAGUCUUUGUUUAACAAAUUCAUGCAUUGCCUGAUUGUGUAUUCCUUGCAUUUGGUUUAGUUUUAAAUUCCGAAAGUUCUGUUAUCUUUUUUAAUCUUUCCAAGGCGUGGAAAGGAAAUGUAAUGCUUUGUUUGUCUUUAUGAUUGUCUUUCGGAAAUGAGAAUUUCUAACUAUGGUAUAUCGGAUACGCUCCUUCGUUAUUUUACUUUUGUGCUUUACUCUGUGUGGAAUUGGCAUCAAUAUUACAGGUGUGUACAUUCACCCACAGACUAUCUAGGUGGUACGACCAUCAAUAUUAUGGAGUGUAAAUGUCGCCACAAAAAGUUAUCAGUUUCAGAGACAGAUCAGAGCUGCGCAGCGGAAGCUUCGAGGAGUUGAGUCCGUUAGUUAACUUUUGUCUUUGUUUAUUAUGUUGUAUAUCCUAUUGUAAACCAUAUGAGUAUUGUAUAUGUAUCAUUUGAGAUAAGUUCUUGUAUAUAUAUU